UACAAAUGCGAUGCGAAGUGAAAUACCUUCAUUUAUUGUAAAUAAAACGGUAAUUGCUAAUUUAAUCUUACAAUUUAAAUCAUUGCUGGAUAACCCAUUCUUUUUGAUUUAUUAGACGUUAUAAAUUUGUGGCAGACGUAACUGUGCAUAUGAUAACAUGUAUGAAAGAGUAAAAACGUGCAAAUCAUGUGACGCAUCCAGCUAAUAGAUUAAGUGACAAUGUAGAUGAACCUAACCUCAAAGUUAGUCAAUAAAUGCGCAGUUUUGUUAUAGUGAAGUGUAUUCAAGACUGAUAUAACCUGUAAUACACUAUAGCAUCGAAUACUUCUACAAGUAAAUAAGAUCUAAAAAAAAUAUUAUAAAAACAGAAGAAUCUCUGAAGAACCAUAGUGGAACACUAACGAUAUAUGCAUACAAAUGGAAGAAAUAAUAUCCUACGAGGGAAAGUAUUGUGCAGAGCUCCAGUUUAGUUAUUGAUCCAUGGAAACAGUGGACAAGGCGGACGGGCGCGUGGGCGGGGGCGAGCACUUCCGGUCAAGUCGCGGACGGCGUUCAGUUUCCGUUCGUCCAAUUUGGCCACAUUCAGGCCAAGGAAGGGGGUUAAAAAGCAUUAAAGUUGAUGAUAGCAGCAAAUUCUACUCUUUGAUACAAUCUGUAGUAUCACAACUAUAUUGG
This is a long non-coding RNA of Papilio polytes (common Mormon), 675 nucleotides long. RefSeq lists it as uncharacterized. NCBI's taxonomy places the organism in Eukaryota, Metazoa, Arthropoda, Insecta, Lepidoptera, Papilionidae. The record is from RefSeq and is a predicted model, not a curated record. The transcript is spliced from 5 exons.